RNAcentral lists this ribosomal RNA (262 nucleotides) under uncultured bacterium. RNAcentral describes it as "partial 16S ribosomal RNA". It matches the Rfam family "Archaeal small subunit ribosomal RNA", at positions 744 to 1004 of the family's 1478-position model. The record is from RNAcentral.
GUCCUAGCUGUAAACUCUGUGAGCUAGGUGUUGCAUAUUCUUUUGGGAAUAUGCAGUGUCGAAGUGAAGAUGUUAAGCUCACCGCCUGGGAAGUACUGUCGCAAGACUGAAACUUAAAGGAAUUGGCGGGGGAGCACCACAAGGGGUGCGGCGUGCGGUUUAAUCCAAUUCAACGCGGAAAAUCUUACCAGAGGCGACGGCAGGAUGAAAGUCAGGUCGAAGACUUUACUUGACGAGCCGAGAGGUAGUGCAUGGCCGCCGU